This 252-nucleotide long non-coding RNA is filed under the name Homo sapiens (human). RNAcentral describes it as "non-protein coding lnc-OSMR-3:1". The record is from RNAcentral. Lineage: Eukaryota; Metazoa; Chordata; Mammalia; Primates; Hominidae.
ACUGCGAGUGAUGUGGCACACGGAGUCAUCCUAACCAACCCGUUGGGGCCCUUUGAACAAAGGACUGCCUUUACUCCUGACUUUUCUGACAAGGGACAACGGUUCCUGCGCAGAUCUGCAGUUUCUAAAGUUGAUCGCGCGAUUGGAUUUGCUCCCCUUAGAAGAAAUUAGUGUCUCCCUCAUUGCAGAUGCAAAUGCGCUUAAGUUAGUGGGAAAUCUAUGUGUGCAUAUGUGAAACAUACUGUAUUUACC